Molecule: long non-coding RNA, 753 nt
Organism: Malurus melanocephalus (red-backed fairy wren)
Lineage: Eukaryota; Metazoa; Chordata; Aves; Passeriformes; Maluridae
Exons: 3
Source: RefSeq, a predicted model, not a curated record
ACCGGGACCCCUCUGGCCCCGACCCCGCAGUGGUCACGCGUUUUUACCCCCGUAUUGCGUUUCUGGCCCUUUGAAAAAGCCCCCGGGACAGUGCCGGCCCCGCUCCCUCCACCCCCGGAGGUUCUGGGGAGGGAUCCCCGUCAUCCUGACCCUUUGAAAAAGCCCCCGGGACAGUGCCGGCCCCGCUCCCUCCACCCCCGGAGGUUCUGGGGAGAAUCCCCACUCUCCUGACCCUUUGAAAAAGCCCCCGGGACAGUGCCGGCCCCGCUCCCUCCACCCCCGGAGGUUCUGGGGAGGAUCCCCACCAUCCUGACCCUUUGAAAAAGCCCCCGGGACAGCGCUGGCCCCGCUCCCUCCACCCCCGGAGGUUCUGGGGAGGGUCUCCACCGUCCUGACCCUUUGAAAAAGCCCCCGGGACAGCGCUGGCCCCGCUCCCUCCACCCCCGGAGGUUCUGGGGAGGAUCCCCACCGUCCUGACCCUUUGAAAAAGCCCCCGGGACAGCGCUGGCCCCGCUCCCUGUGCCCUCCGGAGGUUCUGGGGAGGGAUCCCCGCCAUCCUGACCCUUUGAAAAAGCCCCCGGGACAGCGCCGGCCCCGCUCCCUGUGCCCUCCGGAGGUUCUGGGGAGGGUCCCCACUCUUCUGUCCCAUUGAAAAAGCCCCUGGGACAGUGCCCUCCCUGCCCCCCGGAGGUUCUGGGGAGGGUCCCCACUCUUCUGUCCCAUUGAAAAAGCCCCCGGGACAGCGCCGGCCCC